This 460-nucleotide ribosomal RNA is filed under the name uncultured bacterium. Its description in RNAcentral is "partial 16S ribosomal RNA". It matches the Rfam family "Bacterial small subunit ribosomal RNA", at positions 338 to 795 of the family's 1533-position model. The record is from RNAcentral.
CCUACGGGAGGCAGCAGUGAGGAAUAUUGGUCAAUGGGCGGAAGCCUGAACCAGCCAAGUAGCGUGCAGGAUGACGGCCCUACCGGUUGUAAACUGCUUUUAUAAGGGAAUAACGUGAGUCACGUGUAGCGUUUUGUAUGUACUUUAUGAAUAAGGAUCGGCUAACUCCGUGCCAGCAGCCGCGGUAAUACGGAAGGUCCGGUCGUUAUCCGGAUUUAUUGGGUUUAAAGGGAGCGUAGAGUGCAUGUGAAGUCUGUUGUGAAAGUUUGCGGCUCAACCGGAACAUUGCAGCUGAUACUGGCGGUCUUGAGUACAGGUGAGGCAGGCGGAAUUCGUCGUGUAGCGGUGAAAUGCUUAGAUAUCACGAAGAACCCCGAUUGCGAAGGCAGCUUACUAAACCGCAACUGACACUGAUGCUCGAAAGCGUGGGUAUCAAACAGGAUUAGAUACCCCUGUAGUC